CCUACGGGUGGCAGCAGUGAGGAAUAUUGGUCAAUGGACGAGAGUCUGAACCAGCCAAGUAGCGUGAAGGAUGACUGCCCUAUGGGUUGUAAACUUCUUUUAUAUGGGAAUAAAAUGUUCCACGUGUGGGAUUUUGUAUGUACCAUAUGAAUAAGGAUCGGCUAACUCCGUGCCAGCAGCCGCGGUAAUACGGAGGAUCCGAGCGUUAUCCGGAUUUAUUGGGGUUAAAGGGAGCGUAGGUGGAUUGUUAAGUCAGUUGUGAAAGUUUGCGGCUCAACCGUAAAAUUGCAGUUGAAACUGGCAGUCUUGAGGACAGUAGAGGUGGGCGGAAUUCGUGGUGUAGCGGUGAAAUGCUUAGCUAUCACGAAGAACUCCGAUUGCGAAGGCAGUUCACUGGACUGCAACUGACACUGAGGCUCGAAAGUGUGGGUAUCAAACAGGAUUAGAUACCCUAGUAGUC
This 460-nucleotide ribosomal RNA is filed under the name uncultured bacterium. RNAcentral's name for it is "partial 16S ribosomal RNA". It matches the Rfam family "Bacterial small subunit ribosomal RNA", at positions 338 to 795 of the family's 1533-position model. The record is from RNAcentral.